CCUACGGGUGGCAGCAGUGGGGGAUAUUGCACAAUGGGGGAAACCCUGAUGCAGCGACGCCGCGUGGGCGAAGAAGUAUUUCGGUAUGUAAAGCCCUAUCAACAGGGAAGAAAAAAUGACGGUUCCUGAGUAAGAAGCACCGGCUAAAUACGUGCCAGCAGCCGCGGUAAUACGUAGGGUGCAAGCGUUAUCCGGAUUUACUGGGUGUAAAGGGCGCGCAGGCGGCACGGGAAGCCAGAUGUGAAAGCCCGGGGCCCAACCGCGGGAUUGCAUUUGGAACUAGCGGGCUGGAGUGCAGGAGAGGUAGGCGGAAUUCCUAGUGUAGCGGUGAAAUGCGUAGAUAUUAGGAGGAACACCAGUGGCGAAGGCGGCCUACUGGACGGUGACUGACGCUGAGGCUCGAAAGCGUGGGGAGCAAACAGGAUUAGAUACCCUAGUAGUC
This 442-nucleotide ribosomal RNA is filed under the name uncultured bacterium. RNAcentral describes it as "partial 16S ribosomal RNA". It matches the Rfam family "Bacterial small subunit ribosomal RNA", at positions 338 to 795 of the family's 1533-position model. The record is from RNAcentral.